AUGUUAAAACAAAAUUGAAGAGCACAAUUUUCACUUCUUCUCUCUCCAACCUAAACACGUUUUCUUUUUCGCUCCGAGUUCUUCAAGAAACGGCCAUGGCUUAUGUUCAUCUCAAAACUCAAUCAACAAUCACGAAAUGGAUCCAGUUCGAUUCGUUUUUCACUGUCGACGAAUGUCCAUUCUCCAAUCUUUCAAAAUUCACAACAUAACGCUUAAUUUCAGAGCAAACAAAGAAAACCUAGAAGCUUAAGGAACGAAAUUAAAUGGCAUACAUCAAUGGUGACAAGCAAUAAUAGUGGGGAUAUUAACCAAUAUUGGUGUAAAGAAAAGGCGGAAAACAAAGCAUCACUAACCUCGUCGGAGCAAAUCCGACGGCCCUUUCGUCUCCGGCGACCUUCAGUCGGUGAUGUUAAUAUGAGUCGUAGGUUUGUGGCGUUGUCGAUGAGCGAUGGAUGUAGUCGACAGUUGUUCAGUGUUGAGAGCUUCCAUCUGAUGCCUGUUGCGAUUCAGAGCCACCAACGAAUCCAUUCUCUGCGAUUCGAACAAUUCUGCGCUUGAGUUGAUUGAUUUGCAUUGAUGCCAAUGUUGUGGCUUGCGCAUCCCGAACUGCCGUGUCGUGCUGAAGAAUCGAGGCUGAAAAGAGCGGCUUUGUCUUCCGAUUCUCCCUCUUCUUUUUCUACAAAUCUGUAACAGGAAAUCGAAUAAACAAUGAUGAACGAAUAUCACAAACUGCUGUUGCUCACUUUUGAUUUCGUAUGUUAUGCUUAUGGUGUAACAAGUUGAUAAUACAAUAAAAUUAUUGAUUUGAAUUUGUACA
Vicia villosa (hairy vetch) is the source of this 817-nucleotide long non-coding RNA. RefSeq lists it as uncharacterized. NCBI's taxonomy places the organism in Eukaryota, Viridiplantae, Streptophyta, Magnoliopsida, Fabales, Fabaceae. The transcript is spliced from 2 exons. The record is from RefSeq and is a predicted model, not a curated record.